Molecule: RNA transcript, 1107 nt
Organism: Populus nigra (black poplar)
Lineage: Eukaryota; Viridiplantae; Streptophyta; Magnoliopsida; Malpighiales; Salicaceae
Gene name: cysteine-rich repeat secretory protein 38-like
Exons: 2
Source: RefSeq, a predicted model, not a curated record
GAAAACUGAGUUGCUGCAAUGGCAAUGUUACCAUCAAAAUUGCUGUUCUUUUUUAGUCCUGUUUUCAUUCACCUCCUCGUUCUCACUAUGGCACAAACAAAUCUGCUUCAGCACUUUUGUAUAGAAAAUCAUGGUAACUUCAGUGCUAAUAGUGACUACAAAUCAAACCUCGAUCGCCUUAUCUCCUCCUUCUCUUCUGAUACAAAUAAUGAUUAUGGGUUUUACACUGGCUCCUUUGGCGAAAACAUCGACAAAGCUUAUGCAAUUUCGCUUUGUAGAGGAGAUAAAAAGCCUGAAACCUGCCGUAGUUGCAUUAAAAAUUCCAGCCAAGUGCUCUCACAACUUUGUCCGAACCAAAAGGAGGCCUAUAUUUGGUAUGAUGAUUGUAUGUUGAGGUAUGCAAACCAUACCAUUUUUAACAGUAUGGAAUUCGGUCCGUACUUUUGGAUGUACAACCUGGUUAAUGUUACCGACGAAAAUGAGUUCAAUGAGGUGCUAAAUGCCUUGUUAGGCAGACUGAUAAAUUUUGCAGCGUUAGGUGAUUCACGAAGAAAAUUUGCUGCCGGAAAUGCGACCGCAGAAAAGUCUCAUCAAACAAUGUAUGCACUUGUUCAGUGCACUCCUGAUUUGACUCAGCAGCAAUGCAGGGAUUGCCUGAAUCAAGCUAUCAAAUUGAUUCCAACAUGCUGUUCUAAGAGGCAAGGAGGGAGGGUGGUUUCACCUAGCUGUCACUUUCGAUACGAAAAGGACCCUUUCUAUGACCUUGCAAGCACUUCGCCACUGCCACCAUAGGCAACAGAACCAGCAUUUCCAUACCAAUAUCGUGAGGAAAAUAAGUAUUUCAGAUUUUUUAUCAGAAUAUAUUCUGUAAAAAAAUAUGCUAAAACACAACCUUACAUAGUUCGAACUGCCAUCGUAGUGUUAUUGUGGUCCUUGCAGCAUGUAUGAGCCGCCUGACCGCUAGCCCUCUACCUAAUGUCACUUUUCUUGUUUACAGCACUCAGAUUUCUUUCAAAACAAUAAAUUAAAAUAGCUAUGAUCUGUAUGGACAUCUAUUUCCUCUGAAUCUAUUUAAUAAUAAGAGCAGUUUGGACACUAUUUUAAUUA